RNAcentral lists this long non-coding RNA (765 nucleotides) under Durio zibethinus. Its description in RNAcentral is "long non-coding RNA (DZIB_LNC000461)". Lineage: Eukaryota; Viridiplantae; Streptophyta; Magnoliopsida; Malvales; Malvaceae. The record is from RNAcentral.
GACGCUGACCUUUUUUUUUUCUUUCUAAAAUAUAAACGUUACCCAAUAGGAAUACCCUUUUUAGUUUUUGGCUUUCACCGUUCUAAUCGUGUUUGUUUUAGUUUUUUAAUUUCACCAACAUUUCCUCUCCAGUAUGUAUGGUGAUAAUACUAUAUAUAUUCUUGUUCCAAGCCAAACCCUAAACGGAUUGACUAAUUUAUCCCACACCUAGCUUUGGAGUUUUAUAUUUUUUUUCUAGCUUCCCCAUAUCCCACUCACAUCCUUCUUGGGUUAUGUUACUCUUUUCAAUGGAGACAAAUAUUGAGCAAUUUGAACAAAAUUUGCCGUUCCUGCAUUUGGAUCGGGGUCCCAUAUGAUAUCAUAUGACAGUGUUGAUAUCCCCAGUAAUUCAGAUCAUCGCCUGGGGCUCUGCUUGGUAUUUGCAAAGGGUCUUGGUUCUGUAAACCUUUGGAUGAGAUGGUGACUUCUCCCACAAGCUGUCAGUUAUCAUCUGCAAAAUUCUGAAUGCCUCCAUCCCCCCAAAUUUUUUCUCUUUCAAGAAAAUAUUAUCAACAGGUUUGAUUUUGCAGUUGUGAUUAGAAUUGCAAUGCAAAAAGUUGUUAUAGUUGUGAUUAAUCGUCAACUAUUAUGAUCAAAUUUAGCAUUAAUAUUAUUGAUUCAUAAUACUAAAGGGAGUUCAAAUAUAUAUGUCCCAUACAAUGCUAAACUCUUUUAUUUUAUUUGAUGUUUUUGAGCAUCAUGGUGAGCUCAGGCUCUGCUAUCUGU